UCGGGUUGUAAAGCACUUUUGUCCGGAAAGAAAACCUUCGCUCGAAUACAGUGGGGGGAUGACGGUACCGGAAGAAUAAGCACCGGCUAACUACGUGCCAGCAGCCGCGGUAAUACGUAGGGUGCGAGCGUUAAUCGGAAUUACUGGGCGUAAAGCGUGCGCAGGCGGUUCGUUAAGACAGAUGUGAAAUCCCCGGGCUUAACCUGGGAACUGCAUUUUGUGACUGGCGAGCUAGAGUAUGGCAGAGGGGGGGUAGAAUUUCCACGUGUAGCAGUGAAAUGCGUAGAGAUGUGGAGGAAUACCGAUGGCGAAGGCAGCCCCUGGGCCAAUACUGACGCUCAUGCACGAAAGCGUGGGGAGCAAACAGGAUUAGAUACCCUGGUAGUCCACGCCCUAAACGAUGUCAACUAGUUGUUGGGUCUUCAUUGACUUAGUAACGUAGCUAACGCGUGAAGUUGACCGCCUGGGGAGUACGGUCGCAAGAUUAAAACUCAAAGGAAUUGACGGGGACCCGCACAAGCGGUGGAUGAUGUGGAUUAAUUCGAUGCAACGCGAAAAACCUUACCUACCCUUGACAUGUACGGAAGUCUGCUG
This 594-nucleotide ribosomal RNA is filed under the name uncultured Burkholderia sp. RNAcentral describes it as "bacterial SSU rRNA". It matches the Rfam family "Bacterial small subunit ribosomal RNA", at positions 418 to 1003 of the family's 1533-position model. Lineage: Bacteria; Pseudomonadati; Pseudomonadota; Betaproteobacteria; Burkholderiales; Burkholderiaceae. The record is from RNAcentral.